CCCUUAGAUGUUCUGGGCUGCACGCGCGCUACACUGAUACUUUCAGCGAGUCCACCACCUUGCCUGGGAGGGUGGGGUAACCUCUGGAAAGUGCAUCGUGAUGGGGAUCGAUUAUUGUAAUUAUUAAUCUUCAACGAGGAAUUCCUAGUAAGCAUGUGUCAUCAGCCCGUGCUGAUUACGUCCCUGCCCUUUGUACACACCGCCCGUCGCACCUACCGAUUGGAUGGUCCGGUGAAGCCUCGGGAUUGUGGUUCUUGCCGCUUUAUUGUGGCGUGACCGCGAGAACUUGUCUAAACCUUAUCAUCUAGAGGAAGGUGAAGUCGUAACA
Molecule: ribosomal RNA, 328 nt
Filed under: uncultured eukaryote
Lineage: Eukaryota
Description: partial 18S ribosomal RNA
Rfam family: Eukaryotic small subunit ribosomal RNA
Source: RNAcentral